Long non-coding RNA from Myiozetetes cayanensis, 444 nucleotides. RefSeq lists it as uncharacterized. The record is from RefSeq and is a predicted model, not a curated record. Lineage: Eukaryota; Metazoa; Chordata; Aves; Passeriformes; Tyrannidae. The transcript is spliced from 4 exons.
CUCCGUUCCGAUGGAGGCAAGAAACCACGUAAAGCCACAGCGGGAGCCUGAUGUACGUGAGGGGAAACGGUGAUAAAACAGCGGCUGGGCAUCAAUCACAGAUGUCAUUGUAGCAGAAGUCAAGCAGUCAAGUGAGAUUUGCGCCCCAGGUCAGUCACACUGCUGUCAUCAGCUCUGCCACAUGGUGUCCUGAGAACUGGGACUGACAUCAGCCACAUUGCCGAGGGUGAAACAACUGCAGGGAACCAGGAAAGCCAGACUUAGGGGUCUAAAUAUUACCUAAGGUUUAAGACUGAGGAUCCUGAGCCAAAAGAGGCCCAGUAAGAUCCAUCACCUCUCAAAGUGAUUAAAGUGCAGUCACAGACAUUUUGGAGCUGAAGCUCCAGCACUCGGCACUUACAUGGAAAAGAAGAAUCCUACAAAUACACAAAAUAGCUCAUAUGC